This is an RNA transcript of Dermacentor albipictus, 2147 nucleotides long. RefSeq lists it as uncharacterized. Lineage: Eukaryota; Metazoa; Arthropoda; Arachnida; Ixodida; Ixodidae. The record is from RefSeq and is a predicted model, not a curated record.
GGUGCCCGGACGCCUGUGCGGUGCGUGUGCGCGCGUGGUGCGUGAACGACCGCGGACCGAAUCCGCGGUCCCACGGCGUUCUGCCUGGGGGUGGGACCUCGGCCCAGUUUCGCUGUGCGGUGAUCGGGGGCGAGUAGUUGACGGCCAGUGCUAGACGAAGGAGUUGCUACAUAGUGUGGACCCAGCGGCCAGCCGCGUCCAUGGAGGCAACGUGCCGGCCAUGGAGUUAUGCGUCGCGAGCCCCGCCUGUGCCACUUGCAUCGGCAGCAACCAGAGCGGUGUUCGACGACGUCGCUGGGUCACCCUGUUCCUGCUCCUGGUCGCUGCCGUGUCAGGAAUGGUUAAAGUCCAAGGCAUUUCGAAAAAUGUUCGAGACGUGGAACUGAGACUGUUUGGCCAAGCAAGAAGAAGAUAUGAGGUGUGCUGGACGUCGUGGUCACCGAGGGGCGACUUCUGUCGGACAGCAAGAAGACGCGGUACGUGCUUCAGGGCGAGGGCGCCACGCUUCUCUGCACCUUCAUGCUGUGGCCCGGCGAAGACUUGCGGCGCGUCCUCUGGUUCAACAACGGCGCCGAUGUCUACAUGUGCCGCAAGGGACGCAGUCCGAGGCGUCCAACCUGUUCGACAAGCGCGUCGACCUGAGCGACCGGUCGCCGUCGUUCAUCUCCAUCCUCAGCGCAUACAUGUCGGUGAAGGGAAACUACACGUGCAAGGUCGAGACGGAUCAGGGCACUUCGCAGAACGACUUCUUCCUCACCGUCAUCGUAGGUGUGCUGGGCAUCGUGGUGACCGAGGUGCGGCUCCUGUCGGACGGCAACAAGACGCAGUACGUGCUUCAGGGCGAGGGCGCCACGCUGCUCUGCUUCUUCGUGCUGUCACCGGGCGAAGACCUGCGGCGCGUCCUCUGGUUCAAGGACGGCGCCGAGGUCUACGUGUGGCGCAAGGGGCGACGUCCGCUGGCGCGCAACCUGUUCGACAAGCGGGUCGACCUGAGCAACCGCUCCCCUUCCUUCAUCACCAUCCUCGACGCGGACAUGUCCAUGCAGGGAAACUACACGUGCAGGGUGGAGACGGACGCGGGCGUGUCACAGAACGACCUCUUCCUCACAGUUAUCGUCGACUCCUGCAAGGAAGACAGCUGGACUACGUUCUCGGACCGCGUGUCGUGCACCGAGACUGUGGAACUUGACUGCGGUGGCAUGUUCCCCAAGCCUUCCCCAGCGUGCGGCGACUACAAUGAUCAGACUGGAGUGUACUUGAACACAAUGCCGUUCGACCGCCUAAAGACAGUGGCCAACUCGACGUACGAAGUGCGACUGCAUCGCGUGUUUCACGUGCAAGACUGGCUCGCCUUCCGUAACCUGACCUUCCGUUGCCACGUCAUUGUGCUUGGGACAGACUGGCGAACUGGAAACUCGCAUAAACUAUUCGGAGAUUCAGGUUGCUCGCCUGAACCUCCGGAGAUCGGGAAUGGCUACUACAAUGUCAGCGGCGAGGAGACUUGCUGGCGCACGCCGGCCGAAGGAUCGGUGACGCGUUACUACUGCCUCGAAGGGUUUGAACUGUGGGGUCCCCGGGAGCUGGUCUGCCACAAUGGCACCUGGGUGGUUCUGGCGCCGCUGUUUACCUAUUCAAGGAGGCAGCCGACUACAGCAGCUGGAAGGCCCUUAAAGAACAUCAUCUGCGAGAUGAGCUGCCAAGCCACCGUUGCAUUCAACCGCUUUUUCACUGCCUUGAUGACAACACUGCCCGUGCUACUGUCCCUCCACCUUAUCCCGUCUUCGGCAUAGAGCCACUCCUUUCGAACCUGCCCUGGACAUGCUGGAUGAAGGCAGACAGAACAGUCACCUGGUAUCCGCUCGUGCCUUAGUUUACGUUUGGACCAUCAGCUGACCCGUGGACCCGCAUGGCUAUAUGCUGGCCCGUCCGCAAAUCUUUAUUAUGGGCUCCGAAGCUGUUGUCAGCAAGAUGGUGGUGCAAGUGUUAAGGAGCUUUGUUUAGACAUCUGUGGAAUUCAUGACAUUGUAGACUUCGUCUGCAAGGCGAUUUCCACUGACUGUGAUCGUCCUCGUGUGCAUAAUGGGUACAAAUGCACAAAAUACGACGGCAACAACUUACAUGGCAUGACCCGAAGCCGCAGCGUGGAG